CAGCCCACGCACGACAUCCUUUGCCGUUGCUGGUCGUGUGUGGUCGUGCAGUGGCAAGUCAACCCCUGAAGCCCCUCCUGCCAUGCUCCGUCUGAUGGUGUCGUGCGCAGGCGGCAUUGGCAGCGCUGCAAGGUGCUGCGUGUGGGCAGCAGAACUACUCGCCGGCGCUGGACGCCCUCAAGUGCUGCGCGGACCGCCUGCCUGUCUCCCUGCAGCUGCUGGACACCUAUGCCACCAGUGACCGGGACACGGCCCUGGCGCUGAUGCGCGGCGAGCUGUGCGUGGCCGCCCUGACGGCGCUGCACCCGCUCAGCAGCGGCGAGGCCUCCUCGACCGCCACACAGCUGCAGGUGGACCGCCUGCUGCCGCUGCGCGUGUGUGCAGAGGCCGGCGGCGGUAAAGGCGGCAGCAACAGUCGCAGCGGCAGCGGAGGCGGCGACGGCGACGGCGACGGCGACGGCAGCGGCGACGGCGACGGCAGCGGCGACGGCAACGGCAGCAGCAGUGGGGGCGGGGACGGCGACGGCGACGGCGGCAGCACAUCUGGGCCCCGUGUUGGACCCGGGGUCACGGCCGUGCUGGAGAUCCAGGAGAUCAAGUCCAGCAGCGCAGGUGCGUGGGUGUUGCGAGUGGGCUUGAAGACAUGGACCGGGCAUGCAUAGGCGGGGCGACCGUAUACAUGGAAAGCGCACGCCCGCCCAACAGCUGGAGCGUUCCCUUGGCCCAAAUCAUGGCGCCGCGUGCACGUGUAGGCUUUUUGUGAUUGUGUUCGCGGUAUGUGCGCGUUGUCUGGGCAUCGGUCAACUUAAUCAACUCCAGAAUCGUUCGUCCACUUUCAUGGAAUCUCAGGCGGUUGAGGCUCUUUAACAUGCUCCCUGGCCCGGUACAACACAGGUCUUCCGACGGCGCGGGCGCAAGUGGCCCGGUGCGGCCGCAUCUUUGCGUGCGUGUAUAGCGUCCUACGGGAGCGGCUGUCGGAGGCGUUGGCCAACGCCGAGGUGCAGCUGCCGCCGACGCUGCGGCUGCAGGCCACGAUCGCGCUCGGCCAGGACGGCGAGGCCGGAGCCAGUGAGGAGCAGCGCCCGCCGCAGCUGGAGCUGUCCACCGCCGACGGCGGCUGGACCCUGAUGCAGAUGCAGUACUUGGUCCUGGCGGCGGAGACGCUGGUGCCCUGGGUGCCGGGCCGGCAGCAGUGAGCGGGCGGGCCUCGGCCUCGGCAGUGGAUGGCUGGGGGGCACGGGACGACCAGGCAGCGGCGGUGGCACUCGGCACGCCUGCUGCAACCGUGUCACGCAGCAUACCUAGCAAUCAAGCGGCCAGCCGUUGAUGCUCACGCUGCCGCUAGCUGGGCUGCGGCGCGCUGUGGCGGCGGCAGCAGCGGCGACCGGGCAGUGGGCGCUGCUCACAGCUUCUUUGGGGUGUACGGCGGUGCUGGCGGCGUGGUCCACGGUCGUGGGCGGUGGUUGGGACCGCAGACACAGCUGGCGCGGUGAUGUAGCGAUGUACACGAGGCGAGGGCUUCUGAGACUGAUCGCUGUGUUGCUUUCCCCGACAGUGCCACGGCACGGCAGGGGCUUUAGGGUGGAGGGUAAGUGUGUGAGGAGAGCGAGGGAGUUCUUUUAUGUGCGGCACGUCUUGAAGGUGUUUGCUCGUGUAGCGGCUUGUGCGAGGGUAAGGCACGUUCGUGUUAGAUACACCGUUGACUUCAAUGUGUCUGACCCAUACUGGCGGGCGUUGUGCCACCAGAGAACCCGGGGCACCACCACAAAGGCCCCGGGAGUGCCGCCAGGAACGCAUACAUCUGUUUGUUCUGGCGCAAUUUGCAAAGACAGUAUGCAGGAUUGACCUUUUAAAUGCCUGGUUUUUACUAUGGCGCUGUGUUUGUAUGUGCAUCCCACCACCCCCUCACUGCAUUACAAACACAGCGCCAUAGUAAAGACCAGGCAAUGAAAAGGUCAAUCCUGCAUGCUGUCUUUGCAAACCAGAGCCAGAGCAAACAGAUGUAUGCGUUCCUGGCGGCGCUUCCGGGGCCUUUGAACACGUACAUCUGUGGACUUGAAUACUUGAUUUAAAUGGUCAAGCCUGCAUUCUGCCUUUGCAAAUUGAGCCUGAGGAACGGAAGCAAACAGAUGUAUGUAUUUUUUUGGUUUUUACUCUGGCGAUGUGUUUGAAAUGCAGUGAGAGGGUGGUGGUGUGGUCAUACUGUCUGCGUGCCCACUUUUUGCACUGCCGGGGUUGGGUAGGCCUGCUGUUUGCUGCACAUGAUGCAAUGGAUGGCGGUGGAGCGCGGCGGCGGCGCACGGCCUGUGCCCAGCAGCGGCGGCGUGCAUGUGCGUAGCAGAGGGGGCAGGCAUGGCCACGUGGAGGAGGAGAGCGGUGCGCUGCCUGAGCAGCGGCGCAGGCGGGCAGGUUGAGAACGCUGGUCUUUGUGGCGAGCAUAGCGUACAUAGCGUAGCGAUUUAUUGCUAUUUGGUUUGUUGCCGGCUGUGCUUGUACUUGGCAGCGGGGUGCGGCUCGACACAUGGCGGGUGGUGCCUGUACGAACCGACCCCGGCUGUGUCCGGGAGAUGAGGUAGUUUCGAAACCUUCGGCCUCGGACAUUGCACCAACGUGGCGUGGCCGCACAGCUCAAUUUUCCCCUGGAGACCUGUCUUGUCCGCACCCGUGGUUGUUGGCUUCCAGGAGUGGCAUGACUCCUUGACGGGUCUACCAAGUGGUGCAGGCUGCUAAGACAGCUUGUGACGGCGUUCUGCCUUUGAGAGAAGUCAGUGUUGUGCUUGAGGGGGCGAUCACUCCCAUUGCAUAGAUGAGAGUAGCUGAGCCGUGCUGGGCAGGCGGGCGAGGGGGAGGGGGAGGGGCGGUGGCGGACUGGAGGUAGGACUGGAGGUAGGGGAGGAGGUAGGGCAGGAGGUAGCGGCGGUAGCGGAGGCAGGAGCACUGGGUGGAGGUGGAGCGCUGGCACUGGCGCAGGCGGGGGCUUUUGAGGGUCAGAUCCAAAGGGGUGCAGGCGACGGCAUUUUGAUUUGCGUGUCGGCACGGCGUGUUUACUUGAAUGCAGUCAGGUGGAGGCAAGGCUUGACGUGUAUUGAGUGAUUCGGUUAUGCGGACAGUCACGCGGAAACGCGGGUGUAGCGCCGAGCUGGGGGACACGAGGCGCCGAGCCGGGGGUGCGGGGCGCCAGUCCAGAGCAGGGGGCUAUCGUCGCGAGGCCCUAGGCAUCGCGGAUGAGACAGGUAAGGCCAGCACGCCACACAUUCCGGUGGAGCGCGGACAUGACUUUGCUUAAUUACCCGCAUUGCUGCGUCGCAAACGCUCUUUCAGUCAGUGCCAACGAUACUGUCCCGCGCGGUUGCGCAAUCUUACGUUCUUUCCUGCGCGAACAAAACGGCAGCCCUUAGGAUACCUAUUAAAUGUGAUUCGUCUCACCACUCGCACAUUUUACCACAGGCCUACAGCUCGUCGCUGGCUGGCCUAUGUUGCUGACGCGGCUGAGUCGACCCGCGGCAUCAGGUAUGCUUCUGCGUGCUUAUACUAUUCACGUCGGCGACAUAGGCCAGCGCCCCGAGCCAGCGACAACCCGCCGAUGGUAAAAUGUGUGCGAGUGGUGAGAUGAAUCACAUUCAUUAGGAUCCUAAGGGCUGCCGUUUCGUUCGCGCAGGAAAGAACGUAAGAACGCGCAACCGCGCGGACAGUAUCGUUGGCACUGACUGAAAAAGCGUCGUAUGCUGACCAGCCGAGGCCCAGGCGUGCCGGGCAUGCGCCCAACUUCGCAUGGGCGGCAUGGCGCCUGCCUUGGUUCACACCGGCGUGGAUGUGGAACGGCGAGCCACGGGCGCGCCUGGCGCGUCGUGGCCGCGUGCCACCUGCCCGAGGGGAGCGCGGGAGCCACCCCGGGAGUCGGGUGAGUCGGCGCCUUUUGCAGCGCCCACUGCUGUGACAUACUUCGCGAGUGCAUGCUCGCAAGUAACAGCACCGAAUGCACCCUGCACGCAGGUCGCCGCCUGCAGCUGCAGCAGGGCAGGUGGGAAGACCCAGGGGACAAACUUUGCAACGCUUCUCAAGAAGGGCGUGUACGGUAGUGCGCGCAGGGGUCAAAUUCGUGAUUUGACUGCCCGAGUAUCGCCGGACAGCUUCGUCUCUCCUGUCCCCAUGACCCACUCGCAUGUCGCUUGCUGCUUUUCACUCGUUGCUCACGUUGAACUUUGCAUGCAGGAUUCAAUGCAGCGGUUCGCGGCGAUGCUCGAUCGGAAGCUGAACCCUAUCAAGACAAGCCUUCAAGAAAUGAAGAAAAGCCUUCACCAGGUUGAAAGCUUUAGCGCAAUACUAGUGGAGGCCGUCGCGGGCAGGGCGCUGCGUGAUCGCGAGCAGCAGAAGCAGGAGGCGGCAAGCGUGGUCCUGAAGGAUGCGGCCAGUGUGGUGAACUGCGUGCUGCCUCCCGGGCUGCCGCCACACGUGCACGAGGUGGCGGCAGGCAAGCUGGCGGCCUGGCUGGUAGAGGAGGUAGGCCGUGACCUCGAGUUGGUGGGCGGGGCGCAGGGCAUCAGUAUGCUGCCUCACCUGUCAGCAGAGCGAGGGUAUUGGCGUGCAUGUGAUGCAUGCCCCAGGGGCAUGUAUGGAUGCCCGAUGGGUGCCUAGACAGGCACAGUCCGUGCUGGCCGUCUCUGCCCUACCGCGCCAUGUAACAGCGCCGCACCCGCCAUGCAGGACCGGGGCCUACGCGCUAUCCUGGAGUCGGAGCUGCGUGCGGUCCCCUCCAGGCUCACCAAAAAAGCAAACGCGCAGUGGAAGGCGGCAGCGGCGAGUGCCGCCCAGGUGUGCUGUUGUGCGAGCAUGUGUGCAUGGAUUCAUCAAAAGCAGUUGGCAAAAGGCCAAACGCCGGGCGUUGCUCCAGCGGCAUAUGGCACUGCCUCUGUAGAUUUCAGCCGCGAGCCAGCCCACGCACGGCAUCCAUGCCGUUGAAGGUCGUGCGUGGUCGUGCAGGGGCGAGUAAACCCCUGAAGCCCCUCCUGCCAUGCUCCGUCUGAUGAUGUCGUGCGCAGGCAGCAUUGGCAAUACUGCAAGGCGCUGCGUGUGAUCAGCAGAACUACUCGCCGGCGCUGGACGCCCUCAAGUGCUGCGCGGACCGCCUGCCUGUCUCCCUGCAGCUGCUGGAAACCUAUGCCACCAGUGACCGGGACACGGCCCUGGCGCUGAUGCGCGGCGAGCUGUGCGUGGCCGCCCUGACGGCGCUGCACCCGCUCAGCAGCGGCGAGGCCUCCUCGACCGCCACACAGCUGCAGGUGGACCGCCUGCUGCCGC
RNAcentral lists this long non-coding RNA (5298 nucleotides) under Chlamydomonas reinhardtii. RNAcentral's name for it is "long non-coding RNA (CREI_LNC000084)". The record is from RNAcentral. Lineage: Eukaryota; Viridiplantae; Chlorophyta; Chlorophyceae; Chlamydomonadales; Chlamydomonadaceae.